Molecule: ribosomal RNA, 492 nt
Filed under: uncultured bacterium
Lineage: Bacteria
Description: partial 16S ribosomal RNA
Rfam family: Bacterial small subunit ribosomal RNA
Source: RNAcentral
AGUGAACGCUGGCGGUAGGCCUAACACAUGCAAGUCGAACGGCAGCACAGUAAGAGCUUGCUCUUAUGGGUGGCGAGUGGCGGACGGGUGAGGAAUACAUCGGAAUCUACUUUUUCGUGGGGGAUAACGUAGGGAAACUUACGCUAAUACCGCAUACGACCUACGGGUGAAAGCAGGGGAUCUUCGGACCUUGCGCGAUUGAAUGAGCCGAUGUCGGAUUAGCUAGUUGGCGGGGUAAAGGCCUACCAAGGCGACGAUCCGUAGCUGGUCUGAGAGGAUGAUCAGCCACACUGGAACUGAGACACGGUCCAGACUCCUACGGGAGGCAGCAGUGGGGAAUAUUGGACAAUGGGCGCAAGCCUGAUCCAGCCAUACCGCGUGGGUGAAGAAGGCCUUCGGGUUGUAAAGCCCUUUUGUUGGGAAAGAAAAGCAGCAGGUUAAUACCCCGCUGUUCUGACGGUACCCAAAGAAUAAGCACCGGCUAACUUCGUG